ACCUACGGGACGCAGCAGUGAGGAAUAUUGGUCAAUGGGCGAGAGCCUGAACCAGCCAAGUCGCGUGAGGGACGACGGCCCUACGGGUUGUAAACCUCUUUUGCCGGGGGACAAACGGCGGCACGCGUGCCGUCCUGAGGGUACCCGGAGAAAAAGCAUCGGCUAACUCCGUGCCAGCAGCCGCGGUAAUACGGAGGAUGCGAGCGUUAUCCGGAUUUACUGGGUGUAAAGGGAGCGUAGACGGUGCGCCAAGUCUGGAGUGAAAUGCCGCAGCUUAACUGCGGAACUGCUUUGGAAACUGGCGG
This 305-nucleotide ribosomal RNA is filed under the name uncultured bacterium. RNAcentral's name for it is "bacterial SSU rRNA". It matches the Rfam family "Bacterial small subunit ribosomal RNA", at positions 337 to 639 of the family's 1533-position model. The record is from RNAcentral.